UUGAACGCUGGCGGCAGGCCUAACCCCUGCCAGUCGAGCGGAUGAAGGGAGCUUGCUCCUGGAUUCAGCGGCGGACGGGUGAGUAAUGCCUAGGAAUCUGCCUGGUAGUGGGGGAUAACGUCCGGAAACGGGCGCUAAUACCGCAUACGUCCUGAGGGAGAAAGUGGGGGAUCUUCGGACCUCACGCUAUCAGAUGAGCCUAGGUCGGAUUAGCUAGUUGGUGGGGUAAAGGCCUACCAAGGCGACGAUCCGUAACUGGUCUGAGAGGAUGAUCAGUCACACUGGAACUGAGACACGGUCCAGACUCCUACGGGAGGCAGCAGUGGGGAAUAUUGGACAAUGGGCGAAAGCCUGAUCCAGCCAUGCCGCGUGUGUGAAGAAGGUCUUCGGAUUGUAAAGCACUUUAAGUUGGGAGGAAGGGCAGUAAGUUAAUACCUUGCUGUUUUGACGUUACCAACAGAAUAAGCACCGGCUAACUUCGUG
RNAcentral lists this ribosomal RNA (483 nucleotides) under uncultured bacterium. RNAcentral describes it as "partial 16S ribosomal RNA". It matches the Rfam family "Bacterial small subunit ribosomal RNA", at positions 30 to 507 of the family's 1533-position model. The record is from RNAcentral.